AGAGUUUGAUCCUGGCUCAGAACGAACGCUGGCGGCGUGGAUUAGGCAUGCAAGUCGAGCACGAAAGUUCCCUUCGGGGAGCGAGUAGAGCGGCGAAAGGGUGAGUAACGCUUGAGUAAGUUACCUCUAGGCCUGGGAUAGCCACUGGAAACGGUGGGUAAUACCGGAUUGUCUCGUGAGCAUCGCGGUGCGCAUGAGUAAAGGUGGGGAUCUUCGGACCUGCCGCCAAGAGAGACGCUCGAGUCCUACCAGCUUGUUGGUGAGGUAAUGGCUCACCAAGGCGAAGACGGGUAGCCGGGCUGAGAGGUUGGCCGGCCACACUGGCACUGAGACACUGGCCAGACUCCUACGGGAGGCUGCAGUCGAGAAUCUUCCGCAAUGGACGAAAGUCUGACGGAGCGACGCCGCGUGGAGGAAGAAGGCUUUCGGGUUGUAAACUCCUGUCAGAGUUUAAGAACGCAGGGGGGUUAAUACCCACUCCUGUUGACAAAGGACUCAAAGGAAGCCACAGCUAACUUCGUGCCAGCAGCUGCGGUAAUACGAAGGUGGCGAGCGUUGUUCGGAUUCACUGGGCGUAAAGGGCACGUAGGCGGUCCCGGAAGCGGCGUGUGAAAUCCCGGAGUUCAACUCCGGAACUGCAUGCCGAACUUCAGGACUAGAGGAUGGGAGGGGAGUGUGGAACUCUAGGUGGAGCGGUGAAAUGCGUAGAUAUCUAGAGGAACGCCGGUGGCGAAAGCGACACUCUGGCCCAACCCUGACGCUGAGGUGCGAAAGCGUGGGUAGCAAACAGGAUUAGAUACCCUGGUAGUCCACGCCGUAAACGAUGAGCACUAGGUAGCCGUGGGAUCCGACCCGUGGCUGCUGCAGGUAAUCCAUUAAGUGCUCCGCCUGGGG
Molecule: ribosomal RNA, 894 nt
Filed under: uncultured Planctomycetota bacterium
Lineage: Bacteria; Pseudomonadati; Planctomycetota
Description: bacterial SSU rRNA
Rfam family: Bacterial small subunit ribosomal RNA
Source: RNAcentral